UGCUGGAGGUAUCAGAAGUGCGAAUGCUGACAUAAGUAACGAUAAAGCGGGUGAAAAGCCCGCUCGCCGGAAGACCAAGGGUUCCUGUCCAACGUUAAUCGGGGCAGGGUGAGUCGACCCCUAAGGCGAGGCCGAGAGGCGUAGUCGAUGGGAAAUUGGUUAAUAUUCCAAUACUUCUGUGUAAUGCGAUGAGAGGACGGAGAAGGUUAAGUCAGCCUGGCGUUGGUUGUCCAGGUGGAAGGUUGUAGGCAUGUAUCUUAGGCAAAUCCGGGGUACUCUAUGCUGAGAACUGAUAGCAAGCUGUACUUGUACAGUGAAGUGGCUGAUACCAUGCUUCCAGGAAAA
RNAcentral lists this ribosomal RNA (345 nucleotides) under Eucampia antarctica. RNAcentral describes it as "partial Bacterial large subunit ribosomal RNA". It matches the Rfam family "Bacterial large subunit ribosomal RNA", at positions 1271 to 1616 of the family's 2925-position model. The record is from RNAcentral. Lineage: Eukaryota; Bacillariophyta; Thalassiosirophyceae; Eucampiales; Eucampiaceae.